Molecule: ribosomal RNA, 480 nt
Filed under: uncultured bacterium
Lineage: Bacteria
Description: partial 16S ribosomal RNA
Rfam family: Bacterial small subunit ribosomal RNA
Source: RNAcentral
GACGAACGCUGGCGGCGCGCUUAACACAUGCAAGUCGAGCGAUGAAACUUUAACAGCACCCUUCGGGGCGUAGAUAAAGUGGAUUAGCGGCGGACGGGUGAGUAACACGUGAGUAACCUGCCUUAGACAUUGGGAUAGUCUCGGGAAACCGGGAUUAAUACCAAAUAAAAUAAUAAUGAAACAUGUCAUAACGCUCAAAACUCCGGUUGGCUAAUGUGGUCGCGAGUCCCAUUAGUAAGUUAGGAGAGUAAAAGCCUACCAAAGCUUGGAUGGGUAGCCGGCAUGUGAGGGUGAGCCGCGACAUUGGAACUGAGAAGCAGUCCAGACUCCUACAGGAAGGAGGAGUGCGUAAUAUUGCAAAAUGGAGUGAGCUCAGAUGCAGCUACGGUGGGUGAACGAAUAUGGCUGGCGAGUAGUAAAGUUCUUUUAUAUGGGAAGAUAAUGACGGUACCAAAAGAAAAAGCCCCGGCUAACUACGUG